GAUGAACGCUGGCGGCGUGCCUAAUACAUGCAAGUCGAGCGAACGGACGAGAAGCUUGCUUUUCUGAUGUUAGCGGCGGACGGGUGAGUAACACGUGGAUAACCUACCUAUAAGACUGGGAUAACUUCGGGAAACCGGAGCUAAUACCGGAUAAUAUUUUGAACCGCAUGGUUCAAAAGUGAAAGACGGUCUUGCUGUCACUUAUAGAUGGAUCCGCGCUGCAUUAGCUAGUUGGUAAGGUAACGGCUUACCAAGGCAACGAUGCCUAGCCGACCUGAGAGGGUGAUCGGCCACACUGGAACUGAGACAUGGUCCAGACUCCUACGGGAGGCAGCAGUAGGGAAUCUUCCGCAAUGGGCGAAAGCCUGACGGAGCAACGCCGCGUGAGUGAUGAAGGUCUUCGGAUCGUAAAACUCUGUUAUUAGGGAAGAACAUAUGUGUAAGUAACUGUGCACAUCUUGACGGUACCUAAUCAGAAAGCCACGGCUAACUACGUG
This 497-nucleotide ribosomal RNA is filed under the name uncultured bacterium. Its description in RNAcentral is "partial 16S ribosomal RNA". It matches the Rfam family "Bacterial small subunit ribosomal RNA", at positions 28 to 507 of the family's 1533-position model. The record is from RNAcentral.